Molecule: non-coding RNA, 92 nt
Organism: Pseudomonas sp. GM41(2012)
Lineage: Bacteria; Pseudomonadati; Pseudomonadota; Gammaproteobacteria; Pseudomonadales; Pseudomonadaceae
Source: Rfam
UGAUCAAGGGGCCGGGACGUUCUGCCUGUUUCAGGGGCGGAGUGACCUACGGGUACAGGGAGUACCUGCGCAAGGGCCGGAUCAGGCAGAAG